CAUUGCAUGUAUUUGAGUAUACACAAAUGCAGUGAACAUCUCAACCGUAUCCAUCUAUUUUCAGCUGGAUCCAGAAGAGGGCGCUGUGACUCCACGGUUCACACAGCAACGAUCGGGACUAAAACUAUUGCCAUAUUAUUAUUGUUUUUUCCCCUAAGCAAACCUACACGUACACAUUUUCUUGAGGUUAUUAAUCUCCAGUAGCAGCAUUUAAGCUAUAUUUAAAAAUAGGGGGAAAAAGACACUUUUUACUGAGGGUAUAAAGUUGUAGUCGUCCUAAAGACAUGCUUGUUAGAUUAAAUGGUGAUUCUAAAUUGGCCGUAGCUGUGGGUGUGAGCAUGUGAUGUUAUCUGCCCUUCUGUGUCAGCCCUGGGAGCUACUGGUAACCUGUCCAGGGUGUACCCCAUCCUUCACACUGAAACAGUUGAGAUAACCUUCAGCCUCCCUGUGGCCCCAAGUUAGAAAAGCAGAUAAGAAAAUGGAUGAAUGGAUACUUUUCAUUUGACUUCGUGAAAGGUUGGGCUUGAAGGAACAAAGAACAAAGCAUGGACCUUGAAACAAAGCAAAGGAACCCAGGGGACCGCCGAAGACUCUCUCUUGCUGACUUCUAAAAGUCCUCCAGUGGCCUGAGACACGACGCUGUACCACAUCCUCAACUAACCAAACAGAUGUGAGGACAAAAACACAAAGAAGAAAUCAAGAGGAACAAAAAGAGGGCAGCUGGGAAGAAAAAAAAUGAAAUGUACCAGGAAGAAUUCAUUAGGGUUAGAUGUAGAAUACGAGUGAGACUCGGUGCAAGAGACGGAAAUAAAGACAAUUGACAACAGAGGUACAGGGGAUAAGAUAGAGGUACGAAGCUGAUAAAA
This is a long non-coding RNA of Neolamprologus brichardi, 866 nucleotides long. RefSeq lists it as uncharacterized. Lineage: Eukaryota; Metazoa; Chordata; Actinopteri; Cichliformes; Cichlidae. The record is from RefSeq and is a predicted model, not a curated record.